Molecule: ribosomal RNA, 505 nt
Filed under: uncultured bacterium
Lineage: Bacteria
Description: bacterial SSU rRNA
Rfam family: Bacterial small subunit ribosomal RNA
Source: RNAcentral
GACGAACGCUGGCGGCGUGGAUUAGGCAUGCAAGUCGAACGGUAUCAUCCUUUCGGGGGUGAGAGAGUGGCGAACUGGUGAGUAACACGUAGGUUAUCUACCCUCAAGACGGGGACAACCCAGGGAAACUUGGGCUAAUACCGGAUGUGAGCAACUUUUUAGUUGUUUGAAAGGUGGCGUAAGCUGUCGCUUGGGGAUGAGCCUGCGUCCUAUUAGUUAGUUGGUGAGGUAACGGCUCACCUAGGCAAUGAUAGGUAGGCGGCCUUAACGGGUGGUCGCCCACACUGGGAUUGAGAUACGGCCCAGACUCCUACGGGAGGCAGCAGUCGAGAAUAGUCUACAAUGGUCGGAAGACUGAUAGUGCGACGCCGCGUGAACGAUGAAUCCCUUCGGGGUGUAAAGUUCUUUUAUAUGUGAGCAGUGCUUCUUAUAUUAACAGUAUGGGGAGAGAGAUAUUAGCAUAUGAAUAAGCAACGGCUAACUCCGUGCCAGCAGCCGCGGUAAA